Molecule: ribosomal RNA, 406 nt
Filed under: uncultured bacterium
Lineage: Bacteria
Description: partial 16S ribosomal RNA
Rfam family: Bacterial small subunit ribosomal RNA
Source: RNAcentral
AUUGAACGCUGGCGGCAGGCCUAACACAUGCAAGUCGAACGAGUGGCGGACGGGUGAGUAAUGUCUGGGAAACUGCCCGAUGGAGGGGGAUAACUACUGGAAACGGUAGCUAAUACCGCAUACCAUCGGAUGUGCCCAGAUGGGAUUAGCUAGUAGGUGGGGUAACGGCUCACCUAGGCGACGAUCCCUAGCUGGUCUGAGAGGAUGACCGGCAACAAUGGACCUGAGACACGGGCCAGCCUCCUACGGGAGGAAGAAGUGGGAAGGAUGGCACAAUGGGCGAAAGCCUUAUGAAGCAAUGCCGCUUGUAUGAAGAAGGCCUUCGGUUUGUAAAGUACUUUCAGCGAGGAGGCGUUACUCGAAGAAGAAGCACCGGCUAACUCCGGGCCAGCAGCCGCGUUAAUAC